CCUACGGGAGGCAGCAGUGAGGAAUAUUGGUCAAUGGACGCAAGUCUGAACCAGCCAUGCCGCGUGCAGGAAGACGGCUCUAUGAGUUGUAAACUGCUUUUGUACGAGGGUAAACGCAGGUACGCGUAUCUUUCUGUAAGUACCGUACGAAUAAGGAUCGGCUAACUCCGUGCCAGCAGCCGCGGUAAUACGGAGGAUUCAAGCGUUAUCCGGAUUUAGUGGGUUUAAAGGGUGCGUAGGCGGUCGGAUAAGUUAGAGGUGAAAUCCCGAGGCUCAACCUCGGAAUUGCCUCUGAUACUGUGCGGCUAGAGAGUAGUUGCGGUAGGCGGAAUGUAUGGUGUAGCGGUGAAAUGCUUAGAGAUCAUACAGAACACCGAUUGCGAAGGCAGCUUACCAAGCUAUUUCUGACGUUGAGGCACGAAAGCGUGGGGAGCAAACAGGAUUAGAUACCCCAGUAGUC
This 460-nucleotide ribosomal RNA is filed under the name uncultured bacterium. Its description in RNAcentral is "partial 16S ribosomal RNA". It matches the Rfam family "Bacterial small subunit ribosomal RNA", at positions 338 to 795 of the family's 1533-position model. The record is from RNAcentral.